This 250-nucleotide ribosomal RNA is filed under the name uncultured bacterium. RNAcentral's name for it is "partial 16S ribosomal RNA". It matches the Rfam family "Bacterial small subunit ribosomal RNA", at positions 527 to 776 of the family's 1533-position model. The record is from RNAcentral.
GUAGGGUGCAAGCGUUAAUCGGAAUUACUGGGCGUAAAGCGUGUGCAGGCGGUUCGCUAAGACCGAUGUGAAAUCCCCGGGCUUAACCUGGGAACUGCAUUGGUGACUGGCGGGCUAGAGUAUGGCAGAGGGGGGUAGAAUUCCACGUGUAGCAGUGAAAUGCGUAGAGAUGUGGAGGAAUACCGAUGGCGAAGGCAGCCCCCUGGGCCAAUACUGACGCUCAUGCACGAAAGCGUGGGGAGCAAACAGG